UACGUAGGGUGCGAGCGUUGUCCGGAAUUACUGGGCGUAAAGAGCUCGUAGGUGGUUUGUCGCGUUGUCCGUGAAAACUCACAACUCAAUUGUGGGCGUGCGGGUGAUACGGGCAGACUGGAGUACUGCAGGGGAGACUGGAAUUCCUGGUGUAGCGGUGGAAUGCGCAGAUAUCAGGAGGAACACCGGUGGCGAAGGCGGGUCUCUGGGCAGUGACUGACGCUGAGACGCGAAAGCGUGGGGAGCGAACAGG
This 253-nucleotide ribosomal RNA is filed under the name uncultured bacterium. Its description in RNAcentral is "partial 16S ribosomal RNA". It matches the Rfam family "Bacterial small subunit ribosomal RNA", at positions 524 to 776 of the family's 1533-position model. The record is from RNAcentral.